This 28-nucleotide non-coding RNA is filed under the name Mus musculus (house mouse). Lineage: Eukaryota; Metazoa; Chordata; Mammalia; Rodentia; Muridae. The record is from RNAcentral.
UGAACUUUCAUCAAAGAAGCACACAGAG